This 459-nucleotide ribosomal RNA is filed under the name uncultured bacterium. Its description in RNAcentral is "partial 16S ribosomal RNA". It matches the Rfam family "Bacterial small subunit ribosomal RNA", at positions 338 to 795 of the family's 1533-position model. The record is from RNAcentral.
CCUACGGGGGGCUGCAGUGAGGAAUAUUGGUCAAUGGGCGAGAGCCUGAACCAGCCAAGUCGCGUGAGGGAAGACGGUCCUAUGGAUUGUAAACCUCUUUUGCCGGGGAGCAAAAAGCGGUACGUGUACCGCAUCGAGAGUACCCGGAGAAAAAGCAUCGGCUAACUCCGUGCCAGCAGCCGAGGUAAUACGGAGGAUGCGAGCGUCAUCCGGAUUUAUUGGGUUUAAAGGGUGCGCAGGCGGCGAGUUAAGUCAGCGGUAAAAUUUCGGGGCUCAACCCCGCCAAGCCGUUGAAACUGGCUUGCUAGAGUCCGCGGAAAGCAGGCGGAAUUCGUCGUGUAGCGGUGAAAUGCUUAGAUAUGACGAAGAACCCCGAUUGCGAAGGCAGCUUGCUGCAGCGGAACUGACGCUGAUGCUCGAAAACGCGGGUAUCGAACAGGAUUAGAUACCCCAGUAGUC